GACUUGGAUCACAGCUGGGGGAUAAGAAACAGACACUGAGUUAUGAUUCACUACGGUAGACACACACACAUCUGUUUCAACGAGAGAGAGAGAGAUAGAGUGCAUGACCUCACCACUGUCAAGGGAGGGGGAGAAAGAGAGAGAGUUGUGAGACCUGUUUUAGUGUGCCCUGUUAGGCAGUGUACCGAACUCUGUGAUAGUUUCCCCCUCAUAUAAAUUCCUGUGGUCUGGUCCAAAGGAAACAGAACUUAGAUAGUAUUAGGGAGUAUGUGCUUGUAUCGGAGGGACUGGUGAGGUAUGGUCCCGUGUGACUCAGUUGGCAGGCUCGUACAGGAGGGACUAGUGAGGUAUGGUCCCGUGUGACUCAGUUGGCAGGCUCGUACAGGAGGGACUAGUGAGGUAUGGUCCCGUGUGACUCAGUUGGCAGGCUCGUACAGGAGGGACUAGUGAGGUAUGGUCCCGUGUGACUCAGUUGGCAGGCUCGUACAGGAGGGACUAGUGAGGUAUGGUCCCGUGUGACUCAGUUGGCAGGCUCGUACAGGAGGGACUAGUGAGGUAUGGUCCCGUGUGACUCAGUUGGCAGGCUCGUACAGGAGGGACUAGUGAGGUAUGGUCCCGUGUGACUCAGUUGGCAGGCUCGUACAGGAGGGACUAGUGAGGUAUGGUCCCGUGUGACUCAGUUGGCAGGCUCGUACAGGAGGGACUAGUGAGGUAUGGUCCCGUGUGACUCAGUUGGCAGGCUCGUACAGGAGGGACUAGUGAGGUAUGGUCCCGUGUGACUCAGUUGGCAGGCUCGUACAGGAGGGACUAGUGAGGUAUGGUCCCGUGUGACUCAGUUGGCAGGCUCGUACAGGAGGGACUGGUGAGGUAUGGUCCCGUGUGACUCAGUUGGCAGGCUCGUACAGGAGGGAUUGGUGAGGUAUGGUCCCGUGUGACUCAGUUGGCAGGGCAUGGCACUUGCAAUACCAGGGCUGUGAGUUUGAUUCCGACGGGGGACCAGUAUGAAAAUGUAUGCACUAAGUACUGUAAGUCACUAUGGAUACGAGUGUCUACUAAAAUGGUAUGAGAGACUGUUGCACACUAGCGCACAUGCUGGGAAUUGAGGGCUGAAUGAAA
This is a long non-coding RNA of Oncorhynchus keta (chum salmon), 1116 nucleotides long. RefSeq lists it as uncharacterized. The record is from RefSeq and is a predicted model, not a curated record. Lineage: Eukaryota; Metazoa; Chordata; Actinopteri; Salmoniformes; Salmonidae. The transcript is spliced from 4 exons.